This is a non-coding RNA of Coturnix japonica (Japanese quail), 2798 nucleotides long. Lineage: Eukaryota; Metazoa; Chordata; Aves; Galliformes; Phasianidae. The record is from RefSeq and is a predicted model, not a curated record.
CCAGGCCGGGGAUGCGGGCGGCCUCGAGGCGAGGGGCGAUGCCCCGGGCACACACCGAGCAGCGCCCCGACGGCACAACGGAUCCCGAGGAAUGGGAUGGGACGGUGCGGGCAGGAUGCUGGCACCGCUGGGCUGCUGGCACGCCCGUGUCUGCUCCGCUCCGCUCCUGCUGCUGCCGCCCUGGAGAGCCAUUUCCUCGUGGCAAAACACCUCGGCAGAGCUAUCAACGCUGGCGUGGUUCAUCCUCUAAUAACUCAAAUGCAUCUCGGAUAGAUAUCAGCCUCACGGACAGUAAUGGCACAUAUUUGCGUUCAUUUCCCAGUUUCCAGUAAAAUAUAAAAGCAGCCCCGGCAUUUCAAGGCAAUUACACAGAAGAGUCAAGAGAUAGAGGCAGACACGGAGGAGCUGGACAACGUCACAUCUCCUAAUGCACUGGGAUAACAUGAUAAGGCUCUCCAUCACACCGUGGUUAGGGAGGCAGGGACCAAGCAGCCAUAAUCAAGUCUGGGGCUGCUCUGAUUAUCCACAGCCCUCAGCUGUGCACUGAAAUGUUUUGAUGCCAUGACUGUGCCCGGUGGCUGCACUGAGGCUGAUGGGUGUCUGCAGGUGUUUGCAUAGGAUGAGAGAUGCAGGCAGGAUGCAGCUCCCACAGCACUGGGCUCCUGUGCGUUCUCCUUCUUCGGGUUCCUUUACUCUAGAAAUACUCAAAGCAUUGUCCAAUUGAAAAUUGGCACCAUAGGCUUUUUGCUGCCUAAACUCAGGUGGGAUGAGGAGCACAUUGUGCACAUGAGCAGCUCCUCUGGCCACAGCAACAAGUGUUGAGUGAGCAGGAGAGAGCCUGGGAGAGCAACGACUUUUGGGGGCCAACCCCUUUGUUGGUGCAGGGAAAACUGUGCUGAUUCAUGGCAACAAAGGGGCAGGGCUGAGCUCCUCACGCUGUUGGAGUCAGCAGAACAGUGUAAGCAGCACAACAAGGACAUGACUUCAUCUUGGCAGACGACGUCUGAAGGGAGCAGCGAGCAGGACGGAGCCAUUUGGUCUCCUGAACUUUCCCCUUUGAUUGAAGAUCCUUCUCUGGGUUUUGGCCAUUACUCCAUCUCAGUGCUCUGAGCGACAGCGCUGAUGCUUCAUCUGUGAUGCAACAUUGAUCAGGGGCCCAGGACAGACAUGGGAGCUGUAGGAAGGCGCAGCAGAGCAGCCAGGAGCCCUUCAUGCAGCUGGCCCUCAAUUUAACAGUGUACAAUGGGGCCUCAGUGCCACGCACUCCCCAUGAGCUCAGACUUUCCUUGCCUGCAAAGCACUGUCACUGAACAGCACUGCCCCAAAUAGUGGCUCCCCCAGCAGCUCUCCAUGCUUUGCCUCCCUCAGCCCUGCAUGCUGGGUGUGUUUUCCCAGCAGCUCUGUGCUAAUUUUAACUGUGCUGAGACUCUGGGCAGGAAGCAGGAAUCCCAUCCCAGGAGCCCCAGAGCAAAGCAGUUUGCUGUGGUCCGAAAACUUAACUCCUGUUUACUGGGGACUGGGGCAUGGCUGGAGCUGCCUGGCAGUGCUGGGGGAAGGGGAAGGUUCAGUCCAUACCCCAAGCUCAGAGCGGAGCUGUCAGACCUCCCUGCUUGUUAAUACCAAGCCUGAAAACAUGUGCAAACUCUUCCUGAUCCUGCUCAGGGCCACCGGAGAGCUGAGCAGCGACAAAGGGGAAGGUUGUGCAGAGCCACAUGGCUGCUUUUAACCCAGUAACAUCCUCUUUCAUUGGGCCUGAGCCAUUCCUUGUGCUUGGGAGGAACCAAGGCAGCAGCAGGCUGUGUUAAUGCUGACAAAGCCUGUGUUCAACAGCAGCUCUGUAUUGCCCAAGCUGAAGUUCAGCGACGCUGUGCCAAGAGGCGACGUUGCCAACCAUGGGAGGGAACCAAUCCGAAGCUACGGGAAAAACAUUUUUGAGGAGAAACAUCACCUCUGAACCCAUAGAAACAAAUCAGUUCUGACACAACUAAACAGAGAGCUAUAAAAGGAGAGUUUGGGAAGAACACCACUAAUUGGGUGGUGAUUCAUAUGGUGCCGGUCAGACUGCGUUUUUGUAAUCUCCAUUCCUGGGGGAUGAUUUUCAAAGCACACUGGAAUGUGGAAGCAGCCUGGCCAGAUGUGGGCUGGAAGAUGAGAGAGGAGCAAACAGUGCUGAGAACACAGGAGCGGCAGCAGCAGAGCUGGGGGCUCCCAUAACAGCAAAAUGAAUGGAAUCAUCCCAAAGCAGGGCACGAGGUGCUUCACCCUCUGCCCUGUGCCGGCUGGGGGCAAUGGGAGCAGGACUGCUUUGCUCAGGUGUCCUGAUGCUGGAGGUGAGGCUGUGCCUGAAGCAUCUACACUGUGUUUUUGCUGGGAAGAGCAGAGCCUAAAAGCCACGGCCAGGCAGCUGCAUGAGAAACUAAUCGCUUUUAAUCUGGUUAGAAAACUUCAGCCCUUGGGGAAAAACAGCACAGCUUUCUGGAACUGGGCGGGGAGACCAUGGGAUGGCAGGUUGAGAAAAAACAAAUUAAAUUUGUAUUAGGGUCUGCAAUCACUUCUCUGAUUUGAGAGGCUGUUUCAGAGAGCAGGAGGGCAAUAACCUGCAAGGAGAUGAAAUCCAUAGCAGAGGUGCAGGUUCUCUGUGCACCGAAAUGGCCCCAUUACCAGCAACAUAGUUCCAGCAAGAUCAGCUCUUAUUGGCCUCCGUUUAUUUGUUUUAUGCUCUUUCAAAAGAUAUGUUUCUUCAGGACACCACCUAAAGUGGCAAUAAAACAUUUUGGGCUGCUGCUCCGUGCUGCACA